Molecule: unclassified non-coding RNA, 329 nt
Filed under: soil metagenome
Description: partial contains 5.8S ribosomal RNA, internal transcribed spacer 2, and large subunit ribosomal RNA
Rfam family: 5.8S ribosomal RNA (bases 1-120)
Source: RNAcentral
GAUGAAGAACGUAGCGAAAUGCGAUAAGUAAUGUGAAUUGCAGAAUUCAGUGAAUCAUCGAAUCUUUGAACGCACAUUGCGCCCCUUGGUAUUCCGAGGGGCAUGCCUGUUCGAGCGUCAUUAUAACCCCUCAAGCUCAGCUUGGUGUUGGGGCCUGCUGCACUGGCAGCCCUUAAAAUCAGUGGCGGCGCCAUCUGGCUCUAAGCGUAGUAUUUCUUCUCGCUAUGGAGUCCUGGUGGAUGCUUGCCAUCAACCCCCAAUUUUUCUAUGGUUGACCUCGGAUCAGGUAGGGAUACCCGCUGAACUUAAGCAUAUCAAUAAGCGGAGGA